This 427-nucleotide ribosomal RNA is filed under the name uncultured bacterium. Its description in RNAcentral is "bacterial SSU rRNA". It matches the Rfam family "Bacterial small subunit ribosomal RNA", at positions 355 to 774 of the family's 1533-position model. The record is from RNAcentral.
UGGGGAAUUUUGGACAAUGGACGCAAGUCUGAUCCAGCCAUGCCGCGUGCGGGAAGAAGGCCUUCGGGUUGUAAACCGCUUUUGUCAGGGAAGAAACGAGUUUCUCUAAUACAGAGACUUAAUGACGGUACCUGAAGAAUAAGCACCGGCUAACUACGUGCCAGCAGCCGCGGUAAUACGUAGGGUGCGAGCGUUAAUCGGAAUUACUGGGCGUAAAGCGUGCGCAGGCGGUUAUAUAAGACAGAUGUGAAAUCCCCGGGCUCAACCUGGGACCUGCCUUUGUGACUGCAUAGCUAGAGUACAGUAGAGGGGGAUGGAAUUCCGCGUGUAGCAGUGAAAUGCGUAAAUAUGCGGAGGAACACCGAUGGCGAAGGCAAUCCCCUGGACCUGUACUGACGCUCAUGCACGAAAGCGUGGGGAGCAAACA